UUCCCAAGUCUUGGCCUUUUGGCUAAGAUCAAGUGUAGUAUCUGUUCUUAAUCAGUUUAAUAUCUGAUAUAUCUCUAUCCAAGGGUGGAAAGACUAUCAGCGUAAUGAUUGAAAAACUUAUAAAGAACGAAUCUUUUAUAAAAUAACCUUUCUUUCAAAUCCAUCUCUCAUAGAGUAUGAGCUCAC
Callithrix jacchus (white-tufted-ear marmoset) is the source of this 186-nucleotide small nuclear RNA. Its record names the gene U2. It matches the Rfam family "U2 spliceosomal RNA". From Rfam's summary of the family: U2 is a small nuclear RNA (snRNA) component of the spliceosome (involved in pre-mRNA splicing). Complementary binding between U2 snRNA (in an area lying towards the 5' end but 3' to hairpin I) and the branchpoint sequence (BPS) of the intron results the bulging out of an unpaired adenosine, on the BPS, which initiates a nucleophilic attack at the intronic 5' splice site, thus starting the first of two transesterification reactions that mediate splicing. The record is from Ensembl. Lineage: Eukaryota; Metazoa; Chordata; Mammalia; Primates; Cebidae.